UACGGAGGGUGCAAGCGUUAUCCGGAUUCACUGGGCGUAAAGGGUGCGCAGGCGGCCAAGUGUGUGAGGCGUGAAAGCCCGAAGCUUAACUUCGGAAUUGCACCUCAAACUACAUGGCUAGAGCAUUGGAGAGGGUAGCGGAAUUCACGGUGUAGCAGUGAAAUGCGUAGAUAUCGUGAGGAACACCAGAGGCGAAGGCGGCUACCUGGACAAUUGCUGACGCUCAGGCACGAAAGCGUGGGGAGCAAAAGGG
RNAcentral lists this ribosomal RNA (253 nucleotides) under uncultured bacterium. RNAcentral's name for it is "partial 16S ribosomal RNA". It matches the Rfam family "Bacterial small subunit ribosomal RNA", at positions 524 to 776 of the family's 1533-position model. The record is from RNAcentral.